This 1875-nucleotide ribosomal RNA is filed under the name Triticum aestivum (bread wheat). RNAcentral describes it as "partial small subunit ribosomal RNA". The record is from RNAcentral. Lineage: Eukaryota; Viridiplantae; Streptophyta; Magnoliopsida; Poales; Poaceae.
AUGGGCAACGUCUGCGUCGACGCGCGCCGCAGCUUCGCCAAGAACGGCUUCUUCAGCACCAUCUCCGGCUCCAUUUGGCGCAACCGCUCCGCCGCUCCCUCGAGUAGCCCCUCCGAGCCUACCACCACCUCCCGCUCCGUCCCCGUUGUACAGCCCACCGCCUCUGCUCCUCCCCCCGAGGUCAAGCCGCCUACGCCUGAGCCAACCCCUACGGCCCCUCCAGCUCCCAUCGUCAUCUCCGAACCGGCGAGACCGCCCCCCCAACAGCACAUUCAGCCAGCGGAGAAAGAGGCCAAUACCCCUCCUCCUCCUCCUCCGUCGGAGCAGCAGCCGUCAUCGCAGCCGGCUCAGCCGCAGCCGAGACAGCAGUCGCGGCCCAAGAAGCCGUCGGGGCACAUCAAGCGCAUCUCGAGUGCCGGGCUGCAGGUGCAGUCGGUCCUCCGGCGUAAGACCGACAACCUCAAGGACAAAUACAGCCUCGGCCGGAAGCUGGGGCAGGGGCAGUUCGGCACGACGUACCUGUGCGUGGACAAGGCAACUGGUCUGGAGUACGCGUGCAAGUCCAUCGCCAAGCGGAAGCUCAUCACCGACGAGGACGUGGAGGACGUGCGGCGGGAGAUCCAGAUCAUGCACCACCUCGCCGGCCACCCGAACAUUAUCUCCAUCCGGGGAGCCUAUGAGGACGCGGUAGCGGUGCACGUUGUGAUGGAGCUGUGCGCCGGCGGGGAGCUGUUCGACCGGAUCGUGCGCAGGGGGCACUACACCGAGCGGCAGGCUGCCGAGCUCGCCCGUGUCAUCGUGGCCGUCGUCGAGUCGUGCCACUCGCUGGGCGUAAUGCACCGCGACCUCAAGCCUGAGAACUUCCUCUUCGUGGGUAAUGAGGAGGACGCGGCGCUCAAGACCAUCGACUUCGGCCUCUCCAUGUUCUUCCGACCAGGCGAGAUGUUCAGCGACGUUGUGGGGAGCCCGUACUACGUGGCGCCGGAGGUGCUCAAGAAGAGCUACAGCCAGGACGCUGAUGUGUGGAGCGCCGGCGUCAUCGUGUACAUCCUGCUAUGCGGCGUGCCUCCAUUCUGGGCAGAGACAGAGCAGGGGAUAUUCGAGCAGGUGCUGAACGGCACGCUGGACUUCGAGUCGGACCCGUGGCCCAGCGUGUCGGAGGGCGCCAAGGACCUCCUCCGGAAGGUGCUCGUCAGGGACCCCAAGAAGCGGCUCACCGCGCACCAAGUCCUCUGCCACCCGUGGCUGCAGAUGAGCGGAGAGGCACCCGACAAGCCGCUCGACUCGGCGGUUCUCUCCCGCCUGAAGCAGUUCUCGGCGAUGAACAAGCUCAAGAAGAUGGCAUUGAGAGUGAUUGCCGAGAACUUAUCAGAGGAGGAGAUUGCAGGGCUCAAGGAGAUGUUCAAGAUGAUGGACACCGACAAUAGCGGGCAGAUCAACUACGAGGAGCUCAAGGCUGGACUGGAGAGGGUGGGCGCCAACAUGAAGGAGUCGGACAUAUCUCAGCUCAUGCAGGCUGCCGAUAUUGACAACAGUGGUACCAUAGACUAUGGAGAGUUCAUAGCUGCCACUCUACACUUGAACAAAGUUGAGAGGGAAGACCAUCUAUAUGCUGCCUUCCAAUACUUUGACAAGGAUGGCAGUGGAUACAUCACGGCUGACGAGCUCCAACAGGCUUGCGACGAGUUUGGGAUUGAGGAUGUUCGACUUGAGGACAUGAUAGGCGAAGUAGAUCAGGACAAUGAUGGACGCAUAGAUUACAAUGAGUUUGUGGCCAUGAUGCAAAAAUCGACCACAGGCUUUGGGAAGAAAGGCCAUCAGUAUAACCUUAGUGUCGGUCUUAGGGAUGCCUUGAACAUAAAGUCAAAUAGCUAA